This 201-nucleotide ribosomal RNA is filed under the name Burkholderiales bacterium. Its description in RNAcentral is "partial 16S ribosomal RNA". It matches the Rfam family "Bacterial small subunit ribosomal RNA", at positions 1333 to 1533 of the family's 1533-position model. Lineage: Bacteria; Pseudomonadati; Pseudomonadota; Betaproteobacteria; Burkholderiales. The record is from RNAcentral.
CGCUAGUAAUCGCGGAUCAGCAUGUCGCGGUGAAUACGUUCCCGGGUCUUGUACACACCGCCCGUCACACCAUGGGAGUGGGUUUUACCAGAAGUAGGUAGCCUAACCGCAAGGGGGGCGCUUACCACGGUAGGGCUCAUGACUGGGGUGAAGUCGUAACAAGGUAGCCGUAUCGGAAGGUGCGGCUGGAUCACCUCCUUU